RNAcentral lists this ribosomal RNA (433 nucleotides) under uncultured bacterium. RNAcentral's name for it is "bacterial SSU rRNA". It matches the Rfam family "Bacterial small subunit ribosomal RNA", at positions 29 to 507 of the family's 1533-position model. The record is from RNAcentral.
AACGAACGCUGGCGGCAGGCCUAACACAUGCAAGUCGAGCGAGGUAGCAAUACCUAGCGGCGGACGGGUUAGUAACGCGUGGGAACGUGCCCAAAGGUACGGAAUAGCCUCGGGAAACUGAGAGUAAUACCGUAUGUGCCCUUCGGGGGAAAGAUUUAUCGCCUUUGGAUCGGCCCGCGUUGGAUUAGGUAGUUGGUGGGGUAAUGGCCUACCAAGCCGACGAUCCAUAGCUGGUUUGAGAGGAUGAUCAGCAACACUGGGACUGAGACACGGCCCAGACUCCUACGGGAGGCAGCAGUGGGGAAUCUUAGACAAUGGGGGAAACCCUGAUCUAGCCAUGCCGCGUGAGCGAUGAAGGCCUUAGGGCUGUAAAGCUCUUUCAGCUGGGAAGAUAAUGACGGUACCAGCAGAAGAAGCCCCGGCUAACUCCGUG